CCGGAGGGAGUUGUAAGGGGAGUAAAUGCGCCGUGGGGCCGGGGGUGGCACCGGGAGUAUCACGCCAGGAGGAUGGCGCCAAGAGGCCAGGCGUGCGGUGCACCAGGGAGAAGAAGGAGGAAAGGGAAGAAGGAAGGAGGAAGGAGAAGGAAGAAGAAAGAGAGAAAGAAAGAAAAGGAAAAAGGAGAAAGAAUGGGAGGGAAGAAGAUUUUAGAUUUCCGGGAGCUCAACGGUAAAAAGAUUUUGAAAGUGAUUUUUUAACGGGUGAUUUUAGUUGGUGAUUUUUGCGGAUGCUACAAACCUACCCCACUUAAAUUGAAUCUCGUCCUCGAGAUUCGGCUGAGUCCUGAAAAGAUGCGGAAAUUCCUUCUUUAACGCGUCCUCGCGUUCCCACGUGGCUUCUUCUUCGCCAUGCCUACUCCAUUGCACUCUG
Molecule: long non-coding RNA, 433 nt
Filed under: Setaria viridis
Lineage: Eukaryota; Viridiplantae; Streptophyta; Magnoliopsida; Poales; Poaceae
Description: long non-coding RNA (SVIR_LNC004586)
Source: RNAcentral